Long non-coding RNA from Felis catus (domestic cat), 4164 nucleotides. RefSeq lists it as uncharacterized. NCBI's taxonomy places the organism in Eukaryota, Metazoa, Chordata, Mammalia, Carnivora, Felidae. The transcript is spliced from 3 exons. The record is from RefSeq and is a predicted model, not a curated record.
AGAUCCUCCUCUGAGCCGAAAUCAAGAGUCAGAGGCUUAACCAAGUGAGCUACCCAGCUGCCCUAAAAGUAUUUUUAAAAAUAUAUUUGUUUUUUUCUUGGCAACUGAAUCCUUCUCUUGUCAGAGAUGGUGACUUCUCUUUUAGGAUUUUAACAGAGGCAAUCAAUUCUGUGGUAAAUGCAAUGUAAAUCACUUAACGGACAAAUGAGGCUGAAUGCCUUUUCCCUGUUCACGGCGAGUUCAUCAUCUCAACAGAUCCUAUUGUGCUGGCAUAACGGUACUGCUGGAAGUGAGAUUAACACGGUGUUUCUCUGUUUAAAACAUGGGGAUUAUCCUGGUCUUUCUUUAAAACUUUUUUGGUUGUAGUUCACAAACAAGUAUGGAUCUUUUAUGAGGCAUAUAGUUAACCCAGAGUUUGGAAAGUCAGAAGACUUGAGUUUUAGUUCUGGUUCAGCUGCUUCUUAGCUAAUGUAGCUUAAUUUCUGUGAACUUUAGUUUCCUCGUUGGUGAAAUGAUGCACACAAAAUAUUUAGCUUAAAGCAAGCUGCGUAGUAAGUUAAAUAACAACAAAAGGAAUGUUAAGAAGAAAACUCAGUAUUCAUCAAAAAUUCAUUUUAAGAAAAUUGCUUAAAGCAAAUUUAGUAUUGAUCACUGAAUGACGGAUUACUACUACUAUUUGUUGAUGUUAACUUCUUCCAUACUUCUUUUUUACCUUCCCUCUGACCACUAAAAAUGAGAUUGAAAUGGUCUCCUUCAAAUACAGAAAAUAACAGAUCUAUAAUUCAGACAUAUAGUAUUUUGUGCUGUAGAUGGUGAAUACACUUUUAUGCACUCUCAUUUUAAAAGGAGACAACUCAAUGACGACUACAUGAAACUACAAGGGACAGCCACAUACAAGUGAUGAAUGUCAGGCCUUAUUGCUAUGCUGCAACAGAGCUGUGUUUGAGCGGGCAGAACUAUGUAGUAGUCUAGUAUCUGAAAUUUAGAGUACUACAGACAUAGAAUAACUGAAACUUUGUUGGAAUAUAAUAAUUACAACACUUAAUUGUCCCUACUCCCAAGUAGUUUACAAUAGAGAAGAUUAUUCAGAUAGGAAUGGUGAGAUUAAACUGAAUUCUGGAGAAAAACAGGGCUUUAGGCUACUGUCCUACCAAAAUCCCUUCACCAGGAGUUACUGUAUUUAUCUGAGUCCAAGUAUGAACUGGUAUGUGUUAAGUGAAUAAAGCAAGUUAGGAAAAGACUAUACACAUUUGCAUUUUACAGAGUGACACAUUUACAGAGUGACACAGAGCUAAGGAUAUCAAAACUUCCAAUUUCUAAAAGAAAUAUAAGCACAUUUAUGUAAAGACUCAUCUAAUGAAAAUUUCUUCAGGAAUUUUCAGUUACUGGAUAUGCCCAAUCUACAUAAUUCAUAUAUAACAUAGCAUAUCCAAAGAUUAACUUUGUGUCUUAGUAGUUUUAAAAUGUGUGCUGUGAAGUUUCAGCCUACAGGUUAUCUGUCUAUACUCAGUGCUGCAUGGUAUAAAUUGCAAAAAGGCCAAGAGAUGCCAUAAUUAUUGACUGAUACAAAUGGCACCUCCAGAGUUGGGUAAAAUUCAGGCUUGUGUAUAUUAUACAUACAUUUAUUGGUCUCACCAAAUAAAGAGAAUAACAAAUUAAUCGAAAGCAGUUUCUCCCAAACUGUGAGUUAAAGGAAAACAAAAUUUAUUAAUGACUCAUAGUAAUUCCAAAAUAUGGGCAAAAUGCUUCAACUUACAACUGAUAAUAUCCAUAUUCCCUUCGCAGUGCUUGAAGUAUACUAAGUCGAUAAAGUCUCGGGGGGAAAUUGAGCCCAUGGCAAAACUUUGUGUAAUGGUAUGACAUAUGAAUGUGUCCUGGAACAAAUCAAACCGUAAAGAUUGCAACAGUUACUUCAUAUCUAUCCUUUGUAUCUCUCCCCAGAGAAUUUCACUGCAUAACAUUAGCUACUAUUUGGAAAAAGAAGGGGGCUUUGAAGUUAGAAGAACAUCAUCAAAUCUGCUCGCAUUUUCAGUGUUAGAGGAAUAUUAGAUCUAUAACCAUACGCACAGGGCAACCAAAGCAAAAAUAAACAAGUGGGACCACAUCAAACAAAAAAGCUCUGCACAGCAAUGGAAACCAUAAAUAAAAUGAAAAGGCAAUGUACAGAAAUGGGAGAAAGUAAUCUGGAAAUCAAAUAUCUGGUGAGGAAUUAAUGUAAGUGCAGAAAAUUCAGAAAGGAAUUUCGUUACUAUCUACUCUUUAAAUUUUUAGACGAAGGAACCGAAGCCUAACAGAUUAAAUCACAUGCAAAACUAGGGAUAAGUACAGAACUAGAACCCUUGUUCCUUAUUCCCAGUGUAUUUCUACCAGUCCACACUGAUUAGGCAAUAUAUUCUGACAAAUAUAUUGGUUUAGCACCCUGUGGUAUAAGGCCUUAAAAUUAAGGACCAGUAUUAUGCGCCGCCUUGACGUCUGCUGAAGUUGGGAGAGUCUUAAAUGGCCUAACUGCAAGGUAUUCUCCCCAUUCUGUUCCUACAGGUAAGACCCCUUUGCCAGGCAAUGCCCCUUAUCACAGGAUCAGCCACAGUUCCUAUUUGUCCCUGAGUGGUGGGUUUCAGUUCCCUGCUGGACAGCAGAAUUGAUCCAACCAAUCACAGUCUCCUGUAGGAGUCAGGGGUCACCUCAACCUCUUGACACCACAAUGCUGGUCUUGCACAACCUCUGGUUAUUUACUCUGCUCCUAGGUGCAACUCCCAUGUCACUCCGCAUGGCGGUGUGUCCUUGGGAGUUUAGCUAAGCUACUCCGUGGUAUCGCUGCUUCAGUAAACUUUUUGUUUGGCUACUGAGCCUGUGGGGGCCUUAAACUGACACCAACCCCCCCCCCCCCCCCCCUCCAAGCGCAUGCCUUGGUCACCACAGUCACAAGGAAACGUCAGUUCCUGAUGUAACUUCCCCAACACCCCUUCCGAUCAAUGGUCUCCCCUGCCUCCCACAACCUUCCCCUCGUGAGCUCCUUGGACACCUCUGGGACUUGUGUUUUACAAAGUGACCUGCUCUUUUUGGUUUGAAUUGGCCAAUCUGGCCUUAGCCCAGGAAUCCCAAAGCACUCUACUCACAGACGCUCAGGUGCCUCAGGGCCUGCCUCUCUCUGCCUGCGGCCUGCCUUGACCUCCCCGUGUGGCUCCUGGAGGCGUUCCGUGUACCUUUUCCAGGACUUUUUCUAACCAGCUUUAGCUGCUAUAUGGAAUAACUGAUCAGUAUAUGUGAAGUUACACUUUAUUUACAGACCAUACAUUUCAUGAAGAUUUCAGGCAGCAAUGAAAACCUUUUGACUCCUCACUGUGAGGAAAGCAAACGUCAUGUUGUGAAUAGCCCUGUGGAGCAGUCCCUAUGUCAAGGAACUGAGGAAGGCUUCCAGCCUAGAGCCAGAAAGGAACUGAGGCCUUCAGUCCAACAAGCCCAGGAAGAUCCAAAUUCUGCCAACAACCAUGGAAGUGAGCUUGGAAGUAGAGCUGCCGCCAGAUAAGACCGAAGCCCCAGGUGACAGCUUGAUUGCAGCUUUCUAAGAAUCCUUGAGGCAGAGGCACCAGGCUAAGCUACACCUGGAAUCCUGACCAUGGGAUAAUCGUGUUAAGACACUAAGAAAUGGGGUAUGAUAUUUUUGUGCAUCAAUAACUAGUACACAGUGCGUAUAAAUUUCACUUAAAAUGUGAGUGUAAAAAGUCCCAAUUUUUGUUUAGUUUUGCAUGAAACAGUAAAAUGCCUCUGAUCAAAAAUCUCCAUAAAGCUUUAAAACAGCCCAUUUGGAGCUAUUCCUUGAAUGGCUCUAGGUGUGGUAGAGUACCUUGCACACAAAUAUCCAAGAAGUAUUGUUGAAUGAAUAAAUAACUUCCAAGGUUUCUUUGACGCAUAGGUGGCUGUCUACACUUGUCCAGUAUGUAAGACGCCAACAAGCUAUAAUAUUUUUCUAAGAGUUUAUUCCUCUAGUGUCACUGGCAUUGACCUCACCUACUUUCCUCCUCGGUCUGUUUUUGAAAGCGCCUCUAUUAGAAUCAUUACUUAUUUUUUUUGUAUUAAAAAAACCUUUUUUUAAUGUUUACUUAUUUUUAACAGACAGAGAGAGAGACAGAGCAUGAGCAGGGGAGGAGUAAAGAGAGAGGGAGA